GACGAACGCUGGCGGCGUGCUUAACACAUGCAAGUCGUACGGAAAGGCCCUGCUUUUGUGGGGUGCUCGAGUGGCGAACGGGCGAGUAACACGUGAGUAACCUGCCCUUGACUUUGGGAUAACUUCAGGAAACUGGGGCUAAUACCGGAUAGGAGCUCCUGCUGCAUGGUGGGGGUUGGAAAGUUUCGGCGGUUGGGGAUGGACUCGCGGCUUAUCAGCUUGUUGGUGGGGUAGUGGCUUACCAAGGCUUUGACGGGUAGCCGGCCUGAGAGGGUGACCGGCCACAUUGGGACUGAGAUACGGCCCAGACUCCUACGGGAGGCAGCAGUGGGGAAUAUUGCACAAUGGGCGGAAGCCUGAUGCAGCAACGCCGCGUGCGGGAUGACGGCCUUCGGGUUGUAAACCGCUUUCGCCUGUGACGAAGCGUGAGUGACGGUAAUGGGUAAAGAAGCACCGGCUAACUACGUG
Molecule: ribosomal RNA, 468 nt
Filed under: uncultured bacterium
Lineage: Bacteria
Description: partial 16S ribosomal RNA
Rfam family: Bacterial small subunit ribosomal RNA
Source: RNAcentral